This 448-nucleotide ribosomal RNA is filed under the name uncultured bacterium. Its description in RNAcentral is "SSU rRNA". It matches the Rfam family "Bacterial small subunit ribosomal RNA", at positions 26 to 518 of the family's 1533-position model. The record is from RNAcentral.
AGAACGAACGCUGGCGGCAGGCUUAACACAUGCAAGUCGAACGCGUGUAGCAAUACACGAGUGGCGCACGGGUGAGUAACGCGUGGAUAUCUGCCUUUUGGUUCGGAAUAACCCCGGGAAACUGGGGCUAAUACCGGAUGGUUCCUACGGGAUAAAGAUUUAUCGCCAAAAGAUGAGUCCGCGUCCGAUUAGCUAGUUGGUGGGGUAAUGGCCUACCAAGGCGACGAUCAGUAGCUGGUCUGAGAGGACGAUCAGCCACACUGGGACUGAGACACGGCCCAGACUCCUACGGGAGGCAGCAGUGGGGAAUAUUGGACAAUGGGGGCAACCCUGAUCCAGCCAUGCCGCGUGAGUGAUGAAGGCCUUCGGGUUGUAAAGCUCUUUUGGCGGGGACGAUGAUGACGGUACCCGCAGAAUAAGCCCCGGCUAACUUCGUGCCAGCAGCCGC